RNAcentral lists this non-coding RNA (30 nucleotides) under Homo sapiens (human). The record is from RNAcentral. Lineage: Eukaryota; Metazoa; Chordata; Mammalia; Primates; Hominidae.
UGUAAAAAUGAAACAGAUUAUCUCAUGCCA